RNAcentral lists this ribosomal RNA (497 nucleotides) under uncultured bacterium. Its description in RNAcentral is "partial 16S ribosomal RNA". It matches the Rfam family "Bacterial small subunit ribosomal RNA", at positions 28 to 507 of the family's 1533-position model. The record is from RNAcentral.
GAUGAACGCUGGCGGCGUGCCUAAUACAUGCAAGUCGAGCGAACAGACGAGGAGCUUGCUCCUCUGACGUUAGCGGCGGACGGGUGAGUAACACGUGGAUAACCUACCUAUCAGACUGGGAUAACUUCGGGAAACCGGAGCUAAUACCGGAUAAUAUAUUGAACCGCAUGGUUCAAUAGUGAAAGACGGUUUUGCUGUCACUUAUAGAUGGAUCCGCGCCGCAUUAGCUAGUUGGUAAGGUAACGGCUUACCAAGGCAACGAUGCGUAGCCGACCUGAGAGAGUGAUCGGCCACACUGGAACUGGGACACGGUCCAGACUCCUACGGGAGGCAGCAGUAGGGAAUCUUCCGCAAUGGGCGAAAGCCUGACGGAGCAACGCCGCGUGAGUGAUGAAGGUCUUCGGAUCGUAAAACUCUGUUAUUAGGGAAGAACAAAUGUGUAAGUAACUAUGCACGUCUUGACGGUACCUAAUCAGAAAGCCACGGCUAACUACGUG